Molecule: ribosomal RNA, 496 nt
Filed under: uncultured bacterium
Lineage: Bacteria
Description: partial 16S ribosomal RNA
Rfam family: Bacterial small subunit ribosomal RNA
Source: RNAcentral
AUGCACGCUGGCGGCGUGCCUAAUACAUGCAAGUCGAGCGAACGGACGAGAAGCUUGCUUUUCUGAUGUUAGCGGCGGACUGGUGAGUAACACGUGGAUAACCUACCUAUAAGACUGGGAUAACUUCGGGAAACCGGAGCUAAUACCGGAUAAUAUUUUGAACCGCAUGGUUCAAAAGUGAAAGACGGUCUUGCUGUCACUUAUAGAUGGAUCCGCGCUGCAUUAGCUAGUUGGUAAGGUAACGGCUUACCAAGGCAACGAUGCAUAGCCGACCUGAGAGGGUGAUCGGCCACACUGGAACUGAGACACGGUCCAGACUCCUACGGGAGGCAGCAGUAGGGAAUCUUCCGCAAUGGGCGAAAGCCUGACGGAGCAACGCCGCGUGAGUGAUGAAGGUCUUCGGAUCGUAAAACUCUGUUAUUAGGGAAGAACAUAUGUGUAAGUAACUGUGCACAUCUUGACGGUACCUAAUCAGAAAGCCACGGCUAACUACGUG